UACGUAGGGUGCAGGCGUUAAUCGGAAUUACUGGGCGUAAAGCGUGCGCAGGCGGUUUCUUAAGUCAGAUGUGAAAGCCCCGGGCUUAACCUGGGAACUGCGUUUGAAACUGGGAGACUUGAGUGUGGCAGAGGGGGGUGGAAUUCCACGUAUAGCAGUGAAAUGCGUAGAUAUGUGGAGGAACACCGAUGGCGAAGGCAGCCCCCUGGGUUAACACUGACGCUCAUGCACGAAAGCGUGGGGAGCAAACAGG
This 253-nucleotide ribosomal RNA is filed under the name uncultured bacterium. RNAcentral's name for it is "partial 16S ribosomal RNA". It matches the Rfam family "Bacterial small subunit ribosomal RNA", at positions 524 to 776 of the family's 1533-position model. The record is from RNAcentral.